CCUACGGGGGGCAGCAGUGAGGAAUAUUGGUCAAUGGGCGUAAGCCUGAACCAGCCAAGUCGCGUGAGGGAUGAAGGUUCUCUGGAUCGUAAACCUCUUUUAUAAGGGAAUAAAGUGCGGGACGUGUCCCGUUUUGUAUGUACCUUAUGAAUAAGGAUCGGCUAACUCCGUGCCAGCAGCCGCGGUAAUACGGAGGGUCCGAGCGUUAUCCGGAUUUAUUGGGUUUAAAGGGUGCGUAGGCGGCCUUUUAAGUCAGCGGUGAAAGUCUGUGGCUCAACCAUAGAAUUGCCGUUGAAACUGGGAGGCUUGAGUAUAUUUGAGGCAGGCGGAAGGCGUGGUGUAGCGGUGAAAUGCUUAGAUAUCACGCAGAACCCCGAUUGCGAAGGCAGCUUGCCAAGCCAUGACUGACGCUGAUGCACGAAAGCGUGGGGAUCAAACAGGAUUAGAUACCCGGGUAGUC
RNAcentral lists this ribosomal RNA (460 nucleotides) under uncultured bacterium. RNAcentral's name for it is "partial 16S ribosomal RNA". It matches the Rfam family "Bacterial small subunit ribosomal RNA", at positions 338 to 795 of the family's 1533-position model. The record is from RNAcentral.